CCUGCGACGAGGUUGUUGUAGUCGGAAGGAGUUACAGUCAUUGUUGGGGUCGUUGAAUUUUGCCAUGAGAAUCAUCCCGCAGGGCAGGUCUUUUAUUUCUAGGCUUUUAUGUCUAUUACCUAACCUGCCCUCCGAGGACAGCAUAGUUUCUCUGGAUACCCACAGCUGAUUUACGAAUGUGGCAGGAUUUCUUAUUCCAGUGGAAUGGGAAGUCCAUGUUCAUACCUCCACUGUCCCCCAAUUCCCCAAUACUGUGGACAGAUGCAGCAGCUUCUUCUGGUUUCAUGGCCAUCUGUGGUGACCAAUGGUUACGGGGCAGUUGGCCGCCUGAGACCAGAACAUUGGAGGCUUUUGGUCAUACGUCAGCAUUGCUAGAAAUAUACCCUAUCGUGGCAGCAGCAGCAACUUGGGGACACUCCUGGGCGGGACACACGGUCCAUUGUUACUCAGAUAACCAAGCAACAUGCUACAUUAUUAACAAAGGCCGGUCCCCCUCUCUAGUCAUUAGGAGUUUCAUGAGGAGAUUAACUUGGCUCACGGCAACUCAUCAGUUCUUUUUGUAUUGCACACACGUACCAGGUAUUCAGAACGUAGCAGAUGACCAUUUGUCACGAUUUCAGUUUCAGGAAUUUCACCUACUCCAUCCCUAUGCCUCCUUGAUAGCAACUCCGGUCCCCCAGUUACAAGACCUCAUAUUGGAUUGAGUCAACUCCUAGAGCAUGGCAGAUUACUAUCACAGAGAGCUCUGUCCGAAAACACCAGGUGUACAUACAAAAGAGCACUUAAUGUUUUUGUAAAAUUCACAAGGGACUUCUAGGUGGCAGACGUAUUCGCUAUCGAAACUUUGGUAGUAUUUGCCUCUUUUUGCCACUUGAAUUUAAAUCUGUCUUACAAUACAAUAAAACUCUACUUGACCGAGAUCCAGGGCGAAAUACCGUAACUUUGAAUUGAAAACGCACUGCUCCACUUCACAGACCAAUCUAUCGCACUAUACAAGAAAUCCAUCAUGAGGCACCUACUCAACGCUGCUAAAUCCCUGAUUCCAAUGAUGUGGAAAAGCACCCAACCACCCACGAUUGUGCAAUGGCUACAGAAAGUUGAGGAGAUUCACUAAGCAGAAACAAAAUACGCAGACUUACUGGGACGAAGCACACAGAACUCUGGGGGCCAUGGUACAUGUAUCUAACACACCCACAGUCACAGGGAGGAAGGAAGGAGUCGAAAAACAAGAGACAACAGGACACACACGAGCAGCCCAUAACACAAGCAAGACACCCUUUCCUGACCCCCUCCCCCGCCCUCGUGCUACCUCAGAGCUCUUGCGAGCACGACCGGUGCCCACGCAACCUACCCCGGACCCUCUGGGAUGUAAAAACGAGAAAACCGCGAACAAUAACCUAAACACGCAGGGACCGGCAAAAUGGGCAGUGAGGCGGGAGGGAAACUCAACUGGUAAGGGUUGUUACAUAACCUCUAACAUAAUCGAACUGUAGCAGCGCUAACUAAAAGUAGAGGAAGAACGUGACAGGGACAUUUGCCAAAUGAACAAACAAACUAAAACUGGAGACAAACCCUUCACUGAACACACAUACAGGAAUAAGAUCACCCUCACACUAUCAUACACAGGACAUCCUGAACCCUGAAAAGUGGAUAAGACGCGCACAGCUGAGACAGAGACCACGAUAGGUACAACACUCCCCCA
This 1702-nucleotide long non-coding RNA is filed under the name Pelobates cultripes (western spadefoot toad). Lineage: Eukaryota; Metazoa; Chordata; Amphibia; Anura; Pelobatidae. The record is from RNAcentral.